This 639-nucleotide ribosomal RNA is filed under the name uncultured marine eukaryote. RNAcentral describes it as "bacterial SSU rRNA". It matches the Rfam family "Eukaryotic small subunit ribosomal RNA", at positions 711 to 1161 of the family's 1831-position model. The record is from RNAcentral.
CUCCGGUCAUAUUGGCGGUGGCGGAUCAACCCCGUGCGCCAAACUGUCCGCUCUAACAGACCGAAACGGUUCCCUGUGAGUAGGCCCCUUCAUUGGGGUCGAAAGCGCCUACGCAUCAACCAUAUGCAUACGGGACGUCGGUCAAAGUUACUGUGAACAAACCAGCGUGUCCAAAGCAGGCUUUCGCCUGAAUGUUCGAGCAUGGAAUAACAAGGGAUCGAUUCUCUCGGUUCUUUUUGUUGGUUUUUAACCCGAGAAUGAGUAAUUCAGGCCACGGUGUCUGAGUUGGGUUUCCCGAGGCUUCGGCUGAGGCCCCAAUUAGGCCGUGUCCUUACGGGAUCAAUAGGGACUGACGGGGUCGUACGUACUUCCGCGUCAGAGGUGAAAUUCUUAGAUCGCGGGAAGACGAACUUCUGCGAAAGCAUUCGACAAGAAUGUCUUCAUUAAUCAAGAACGAGAGUGUGGGGAUCGAAGAUGAUCAGAUACCGUCGUAGCCCACUACUGUAAACAAUGCCGUCUCAGGAUUGAGAAGUGAACUGAAUGACUUUCACAGCACUAACCCCUGAAACGAGAAAUCAAAGAUUAUGGGUUCAGGGGGGAGUACAUCCGCAAGGCUGAAACUUAAAGGAAUUGACGGAA